This 318-nucleotide ribosomal RNA is filed under the name Triticum aestivum (bread wheat). RNAcentral's name for it is "partial small subunit ribosomal RNA". The record is from RNAcentral. Lineage: Eukaryota; Viridiplantae; Streptophyta; Magnoliopsida; Poales; Poaceae.
AUGAGGGAGUUGGCGGCCAGCCUCGCGGUCCUCGGCGAGGUGCCGAGCACUGAGAGGGCGGCCCUCGCGGACGCCUUACUUGCGGCGGCGGCCUUGGAGCAAUGCCGGCGCGGCGAGAGGAACCUGCCACGGUGCGCGUCCAGGCCGCCCUCGCAGCUCCGCGACGGCUUGAGGCGCUUCUUGGCCGGCUUGGCCAAGUCCUCCAGGGAGGCCACGGCCGCCAGCGACGCGAACGACUGCGACUUGCCGUCGAAGAACAUGGACAAUCCCCUCCUGCACAGCACAGAAAAGGCAGGUCAGCAUCUUCUCUCUCCUUAG